GACGAACGCUGGCGGCGUGCUUAACACAUGCAAGUCGAACGGAAAGGCCCUGCCUUUGUGGGCUGCUCGAGUGGCGAACUGGUGAGUAACACGUGAGUAACCUGCCCUUGCCUUUGGGAUAACUUCAGGAAACUGGGGCUAAUACCGGAUAGGAGCUCCUGCUGCAUGGUGGGGGUUGGAUAGUUUCGGCGGUUGGGGAUGGACUCGCGGCUUAUCAGGUUGUUGGUGGGGUAGUGGCUUACCAAGGCUUUGACGGGUAGCAGGCCUGAGAGGGUGACCGGCCACAUUGGGAUGGAGAUACGGCCCAGACUCCUACGGGAGGCAGCAGUGGGGAAUAUUGCACAAGGGGCGGAAGCCUGAUGCAGCAACGCCGCGUGCGGGAUGACGGCCUUCGGGUUGUAAACCGCUUUCGCCUGUGACGAAGCGUGAGUGACGGUAAUGGGUAAAGAAGCACCGGCUAACUACGUG
Molecule: ribosomal RNA, 468 nt
Filed under: uncultured bacterium
Lineage: Bacteria
Description: partial 16S ribosomal RNA
Rfam family: Bacterial small subunit ribosomal RNA
Source: RNAcentral